Molecule: long non-coding RNA, 566 nt
Organism: Pecten maximus
Lineage: Eukaryota; Metazoa; Mollusca; Bivalvia; Pectinida; Pectinidae
Exons: 5
Source: RefSeq, a predicted model, not a curated record
GGGACUUACCCUUUAUCUGGUGAGGUGUGGUGUGGUGGGGACUUACCCUUUAUCUGGUGAGGUGUGGUGGGGACUUACCCUUUAUCUGGUGAGGUGUGGUGUGGUGGGGACUUACCCUUUAUCUGGUGAGGUGUGGUGUGGUGGGGACUUACCCUUUAUCUGGUGAGGUGUGGUGGGGACUUACCCUUUAUCUGGUGAGGUGUGGUGUGGUGGGGACUUACCCUUUAUCUGGUGAGGUGUGGUGUGGUGGGGACUUACCCUUUAUCUGGUGAGGUGUGGUGUGGUGGGGACUUACCCUUUAUCUGGUGAGGUGUGGUGUGGUGGGGACUUACCCUUUAUCUGGUGAGGUGUGGUGUGGUGGGGACUUACCCUUUAUCUGGUGAGGUGUGGUGUGGUGGGGACUUACCCUUUAUCUGGUGAGGUGUGGUGUGGUGGGGACUUACCCUUUAUCUGGUGAGGUGUGGUGUGGUGGGGACUUACCCUUUAUCUGGUGAGGUGUGGUGUGGUGGGGACUUACCCUUUAUCUGGUGAGGUGUGGUGUGGUGGGGACUUACCCUUUAUCUGGU